Molecule: non-coding RNA, 706 nt
Organism: Sus scrofa (pig)
Lineage: Eukaryota; Metazoa; Chordata; Mammalia; Artiodactyla; Suidae
Source: RefSeq, a predicted model, not a curated record
AGAGGAGGCGAUCGGGGCUGAAAGGAUGAACAGCUCUGAAGACCAACAAACCUUGGUCUUCCCUUUGCUUUGAGGGCCAGGGGCUGGUUUCUAAGACAGGGUGUGAAUUCCCGCCCAACCCUCGCCCCCACUUCGCCCCUGAAAACCUAAAUCGUGUAGGUUAGAGUGGGAGACCUCGCCUCUCCACAGGGCUGGUGUUGACUACAGCAAGGGACCCAUCCAAGUCCAAAAGCCAAUUGUGUAUUUACAGCAUGGUCUGCUUGUAACUGCCAGUAUCUGGAUUUCCAAUCUUUCCAACAGUAGCCUGGGCUUCAUUCUGGCAGAUGCUGGUUAUGAUGUGUGGAUGGGAAACAGCAGGGGAAAUAAGUGGUCCAAGAAACAUAUGUACCUAGAAACAGAUUCCAAAGAAUUCUGGGCCUUCAGCUUUGAUUAAAUGGCUAAAUGUGACCUUCCAUUCUCAGUCAACUUACUUUUAAAUAAAACUGGACAGGAGAAGUUACACUAUGCUGGCCAUUCCCAGGGCACCACCAAUGACUGAGAUGAUUUCCUACUGGGGUUACCCAAGUGAAAUGCAUGAAGUUUUAACUGCAGAUGGUUACAUCCUUCCACUGCACCAGAUUCCUCAUGGGAAGAAUGACGCUAAUCAUUUAGAUAGGACUGGAGUGAGUUGGAAAAUGAAAGCCUUCAAGUCCCAAAUCAAAUAUAU